AAUCAACGCUGGCGGCGUGCCUCAGACAUGCAAGUCGAACGCGAAAGUCCCCUUCGGGGGACAAGUAGAGUGGCGCACGGGUGAGUAACACGUAGGUAAUCCACCUUCGGAUGGGGAAUAACAACCGGAAACGGUUGCUAAUACCGCAUAAUGCAGCGGCACCUAAUGGUGACAGUUGUUAAAGCGGGGGAUCGAAAGACCUCGCGUCUGAAGAGGAGCCUGCGGCGGAUUAGCAGUUGGUAAGGUAACGGCUUACCAAGGCGACGAUCCGUAGCCGGCCUGAGAGGGCGGUCGGCCACACUGACACUGACAUACGGGUCAGACUCCUACGGGAGGCAGCAGUCGGGAAUUUUGGGCAAUGGCGAAAGCCUGACCCAGCAACGCCGCGUGAAGGAUGAAAUCCCUC
This 406-nucleotide ribosomal RNA is filed under the name uncultured bacterium. RNAcentral's name for it is "bacterial SSU rRNA". It matches the Rfam family "Bacterial small subunit ribosomal RNA", at positions 32 to 419 of the family's 1533-position model. The record is from RNAcentral.